Molecule: ribosomal RNA, 465 nt
Filed under: uncultured Klebsiella sp.
Lineage: Bacteria; Pseudomonadati; Pseudomonadota; Gammaproteobacteria; Enterobacterales; Enterobacteriaceae
Description: bacterial SSU rRNA
Rfam family: Bacterial small subunit ribosomal RNA
Source: RNAcentral
CCUACGGGAGGCUGCAGUGGGGAAUAUUGCACAAUGGGCGCAAGCCUGAUGCAGCCAUGCCGCGUGUGUGGAGAAGGCCUUCGGGUUGUAAAGCACUCUCAGCGGGGAGGAAGGCGGUGAGGUUAAUAACCUCAUCGAUUGACGUUACCCGCAGAAGAAGCACCGGCUAACUCCGUGCCAGCAGCCGCGGUAAUACGGAGGGUGCAAGCGUUAAUCGGAAUUACUGGGCGUAAAGCGCACGCAGGCGGUCUGUCAAGUCGGAUGUGAAAUCCCCGGGCUCAACCUGGGAACUGCAUUCGAAACUGGCAGGCUAGAGUCUUGUAGAGGGGGGUAGAAUUCCAGGUGUAGCGGUGAAAUGCGUAGAGAUCUGGAGGAAUACCGGUGGCGAAGGCGGCCCCCUGGACAAAGACUGACGCUCAGGUGCGAAAGCGUGGGGAGCAAACAGGAUUAGAUACCCGAGUAGUC